Molecule: unclassified non-coding RNA, 328 nt
Filed under: soil metagenome
Description: partial contains 5.8S ribosomal RNA, internal transcribed spacer 2, and large subunit ribosomal RNA
Rfam family: 5.8S ribosomal RNA (bases 1-119)
Source: RNAcentral
GAUGAAGACGCAGUGAAAUGCGAUAAGUAGUGUGAAUUGCAGAAUUCAGUGAAUCAUCGAAUCUUUGAACGCACAUUGCGCCCCUUGGUAUCCCGAGGGGCAUGCCUGUUCGAGCGUCAUUUCACCACUCAAGCCUGGCUUGGUGUUGGGCGACGUCCUCUUUGGGGACGCGCCUCGAAACGCUCGGCGGCGUGGCACCGGCUUUAAGCGUAGCAGAAUCUUUCGCUUUGGAAGUCGGGGCCCCGUCUGCCGGAAGACCUGCUCGCAAGGUUGACCUCGGAUCAGGCAGGGAUACCCGCUGAACUUAAGCAUAUCAAUAAGCGGAGGA